CCAAUACUUGAUUCGAUUUUUGGGCUUAUAGUAUGAGGACCAAAACUCAUACUGAGAAGAUAAAGGGGAAAACCAAUCAGGCGCAUAGAUAUACAUUCCUUAUAGCCUCAUGUGAAAUCUCAAAUUAUUCAGAUCUCAGAAUAAGAUCAUGGAAUAUAAUUAUAUAAACAUAAUGAUUAAUUUAAUAAUAAUAAUAAUAAUAAUAAUAAUAAUUAUUAUUAUUAUAAUAAUGUAGCAAAAACACUGACUAAUUGAAACAAAAGAUAACAAUCAAUAGACGUUAGGAAACAUCUCUUAUUUACCAUAAAUGACAUAGAUGUUCGCAAGCCGCAUUCAGCGAUCAGGGUGACCUAUAGAAAUAAUGGACAUGUGUACAUUGACUCACUUUGAUGCUGAGAUGACCGUGAAGCUGGUUGUAUGUUUGGUUGAGUACAGCGUGGCUUGUUCUGCUCGAGUGGCGCAAAUGGCAAGGUGUGUGUUCUGAGUGGAACCUUUGUAACACCCAUUAUUCAGAAAUGCAAGUGUAGGCUAUGCAUGUGUGUAACAAUUGCAUUUAAUUUGUACACGAUUGAAAGAUGGAUUGAUGCUUAGCUAACCACUUCAGCAACACGCCGAUAAACUGUAGCCUACCACGCCUCCAGCAUUGAUGCGCAACAAGGUGCUGUGUACGUGCGUACAUGGCUGCAACUCGAUUUCAUCCUGCAACUUUUGCCCAUUUUACUCAGAUAGGCUCUAUCUGUGCAAUUUAAGUCUACACCUCCAUCUUGUGGUAUAAACUUGUAAAGGCAUGCUUAUCUGAAAACAAUUACACCAAUAAAUGUAUAUUGCAUAAAAAAAUCAUAUAUUUUUUGGUAAAAUAGACCUUCGUUCAACUAACCUCCAGUCAGACUAGUGUCUGACUCUUUCCCAGUUGUUUUCCUCUCACGAAGGAACCUCUGUCAAACAAUGCGGUCCUAUUGGUGACAAACACAUGCUAACAAUAGAACAGAACUGGUUUACAUGUCUAAAUGAAGGCUUAAAAGAAGGGAUCUUGAAAAAAGUACAGAUACUGUGAUAUUAACGCAUGACAAAAACAGAAAUGUAAACGCAUAGACUGCCGUGGAUUAUGAUAACCGCUAGAUGGCGCCAGGAUGUAACCAUAUGUUAGGAUAUUUUAAAAUAGCACAUUAUGG
RNAcentral lists this long non-coding RNA (1172 nucleotides) under Gadus morhua (Atlantic cod). Its description in RNAcentral is "lncRNA (ENSGMOG00000022991.1)". Lineage: Eukaryota; Metazoa; Chordata; Actinopteri; Gadiformes; Gadidae. The record is from RNAcentral.